Molecule: ribosomal RNA, 301 nt
Filed under: uncultured bacterium
Lineage: Bacteria
Description: partial 16S ribosomal RNA
Rfam family: Bacterial small subunit ribosomal RNA
Source: RNAcentral
CAGUCGCCACGGGAAUACAGAGGGUGCGAGCGUUAAUCGGAUUUACUGGGCGUAAAGCGUGCGUAGGCGGCUUUUUAAGUCGGAUGUGAAAUCCCUGAGCUUAACUUAGGAAUUGCAUUCGAUACUGGGAAGCUAGAGUAUGGGAGAGGAUGGUAGAAUUCCAGGUGUAGCGGUGAAAUGCGUAGAGAUCUGGAGGAAUACCGAUGGCGAAGGCAGCCAUCUGGCCUAAUACUGACGCUGAGGUACGAAAGCAUGGGGAGCAAACAGGAUUAGAGACCCCGGUAGUCCCUGUCUCUUAUAC